RNAcentral lists this ribosomal RNA (393 nucleotides) under uncultured bacterium. Its description in RNAcentral is "partial 16S ribosomal RNA". It matches the Rfam family "Bacterial small subunit ribosomal RNA", at positions 523 to 918 of the family's 1533-position model. The record is from RNAcentral.
AUACGGAGGAUCCGAGCGUUAUCCGGAUUUAUUGGGUUUGAAGGGAGCGUAGGCGGACGCUUAAGUCAGUUGUGAAAGUUUGCGGCUCAACCGUAAAAUUGCAGUUGAUACUGGGUGUCUUGAGUACAGUAGAGGCAGGCGGAAUUUGUGGUGUAGGGGUGAAAUGCUUAGAUAUCACGAAGAACUCCGAUUGCGAAGGCAGCCUGCUGGACUGUAACUGACGCUGAUGCUCGAAAGUGUGGGGAUCAAACAGGAUUAGAUACCCUGGUAGUCCACACAGUAAACGAUGAAUACUCGCUGUUUGCGAUAUACAGUAAGCGGCCAAGCGAAAGCGUUAAGUAUUCCACCUGGGGAGUACGCCGGCAACGGUGAAACUCAAAGGAAUUGACGGGG